GGUGAGGCCUGAGCACCGGAGGAAGGGGGGCCUGGGGGCCCCCUAAGGCCUCCAGGACCGGCUGCUGGCUGGGCUGCCUCCCCGCCACCCCGCCGCCCUCUGCGCAGCCAGGCUGAGCGCCGGGAGCAUCCUUCCAGCCACCUCACCUGGACUCACCGACCAGGCCUGAAGAGCCCGCUCGUCCAGGUGGGUGGAAGGCGACCUUGCACCCCCGCAGCCUGGAGAACAGCAGAUGGCACAGACUGUGUGGGUCACCAGUCUGAACACACAUGUUGCCAUGGCGCCCAGGAAUGCAGAAUCAGCCACUGCAGCCCUGCAUGGGGGCUCGGAGUCCCUGCCAGGUUUCUCAUCCACCGUGGAGCUGCUGGAGGGUUAACUGAGUUAAUACACGACAAGUGCGCAGCACGGACCCUGGCCCAUGGUAAGUGCCUAACAAAUGUUAGAUAUUAUUCUUGUUAUUACUAUUAUUAGGUUACGCCUGUGGGAGC
This is a long non-coding RNA of Sus scrofa (pig), 488 nucleotides long. RefSeq lists it as uncharacterized. The record is from RefSeq and is a predicted model, not a curated record. Lineage: Eukaryota; Metazoa; Chordata; Mammalia; Artiodactyla; Suidae.